RNAcentral lists this ribosomal RNA (506 nucleotides) under uncultured bacterium. RNAcentral describes it as "partial 16S ribosomal RNA". It matches the Rfam family "Bacterial small subunit ribosomal RNA", at positions 30 to 523 of the family's 1533-position model. The record is from RNAcentral.
AUUGAACGCUGGCGGCAGGCCUAACACAUGCAAGUCGAACGGCAGCACAGAAGAGCUUGCUCUUUGGGUGGCGAGUGGCGGACGGGUGAGUAAUGUCUGGGAAACUGCCCGAUGGAGGGGGAUAACUACUGGAAACGGUAGCUAAUACCGCAUAACGUCGCGAGACCAAAGUGGGGGACCUUCGGGCCUCACACCAUCGGAUGUGCCCAGAUGGGAUUAGCUAGUAGGUGGGGUAAUGGCUCACCUAGGCGACGAUACCUAGCUGGUCUGAGAGGAUCACCAGCCACACUGGAACUGAGACACGGUCCAGAAUCCUACGGGAGGCAGCAGUGGGGAAUAUUGCACAAUGGGCGCAAGCCUGAUGCAGCCAUGCCGCGUGUAUGAAGAAGGCCUUCGGGUUGUAAAGUACUUUCAGCGGGGAGGAAGGCGGUGAGGUUAAUAACCUCGCCGAUUGACGUUACCCGCAGAAGAAGCACCGGCUAACUCCGUGCCAGCCGCCGCGGUAA